RNAcentral lists this ribosomal RNA (744 nucleotides) under Geodermatophilus sp. RNAcentral's name for it is "bacterial SSU rRNA". It matches the Rfam family "Bacterial small subunit ribosomal RNA", at positions 67 to 823 of the family's 1533-position model. Lineage: Bacteria; Bacillati; Actinomycetota; Actinomycetes; Geodermatophilales; Geodermatophilaceae. The record is from RNAcentral.
CGGGGCUCAUCGCUUCGGUGGUGGGUUCAGUGGCGAACGGGUGAGUAACACGUGGGCAACCUGCCCCCGGCUCUGGGAUAACUCCAAGAAAUUGGGGCUAAUACCGGAUGUGACCGCUGGCCGCAUGGUCUGGUGGUGGAAAGGGUUUCCGGCUGGGGAUGGGCCCGCGGCCUAUCAGCUUGUUGGUGGGGUAGUGGCCUACCAAGGCGACGACGGGUAGCCGGCCUGAGAGGGUGACCGGCCACACUGGGACUGAGACACGGCCCAGACUCCUACGGGAGGCAGCAGUGGGGAAUAUUGCGCAAUGGGCGGAAGCCUGACGCAGCGACGCCGCGUGGGGGAUGACGGCCUUCGGGUUGUAAACCUCUUUCAGCAGGGACGAAGCGGAAGUGACGGUACCUGCAGAAGAAGCACCGGCCAACUACGUGCCAGCAGCCGCGGUAAUACGUAGGGUGCAAGCGUUGUCCGGAAUUAUUGGGCGUAAAGAGCUCGUAGGCGGUUGGUCGCGUCGGCUGUGAAAACCCGGAGCUCAACUCCGGGCCUGCAGUCGAUACGGGCCGACUCGAGUGGUGCAGGGGAGACUGGAAUUCCUGGUGUAGCGGUGAAAUGCGCAGAUAUCAGGAGGAACACCGGUGGCGAAGGCGGGUCUCUGGGCACCAACUGACGCUGAGGAGCGAAAGCGUGGGGAGCGAACAGGAUUAGAUACCCUGGUAGUCCACGCCGUAAACGUUGGGCGCUAGGUGU